RNAcentral lists this ribosomal RNA (253 nucleotides) under uncultured bacterium. Its description in RNAcentral is "partial 16S ribosomal RNA". It matches the Rfam family "Bacterial small subunit ribosomal RNA", at positions 524 to 776 of the family's 1533-position model. The record is from RNAcentral.
UACGAAGGGGGCUAGCGUUGCUCGGAAUCACUGGGCGUAAAGCGCACGUAGGCGGAUCUUUAAGUCAGGGGUGAAAUCCCAAGGCUUAACCUUGGAACUGCCUUUGAUACUGGGGAUCUCGAGUCCGGAAGAGGUUGGUGGAACUGCGAGUGUAGAGGUGAAAUUCGUAGAUAUUCGCAAGAACACCAGUGGCGAAGGCGGCCAACUGGUCCGGUACUGACGCUGAGGUGCGAAAGCGUGGGGAGCAAACAGG